UACGUAGGUGGCAAGCAUUGUCCGGAAUUAUUGGGCGUAAAGAGCAUGUAGGCGGUCCUUUAAGUCUGGAGUGAAAAUGCGGGGCUCAACCCCGUAUGGCUUUGGAUACUGGGGGACUUGAGUGCAGGAGAGGAAAGGGGAAUUCCCAGUGUAGCGGUGAAAUGCGUAGAUAUUGGGAGGAACACCAGUGGCGAAGGCGCCUUUCUGGACUGUGUCUGACGCUGAGAUGCGAAAGCCAGGGUAGCGAACGGG
Molecule: unclassified non-coding RNA, 252 nt
Filed under: uncultured Veillonellaceae bacterium
Lineage: Bacteria; Bacillati; Bacillota; Negativicutes; Veillonellales; Veillonellaceae
Description: contains 16S-23S intergenic spacer region
Rfam family: Bacterial small subunit ribosomal RNA
Source: RNAcentral